RNAcentral lists this unclassified non-coding RNA (101 nucleotides) under uncultured Eimeria. Its description in RNAcentral is "sequence contains ITS2". The record is from RNAcentral. Lineage: Eukaryota; Apicomplexa; Conoidasida; Eucoccidiorida; Eimeriidae.
AAAAAUGGGAGUCUUAUUGAUGGAUUCCUUAUGCAUCGUGUAAAGUUUUGUAAAGGGGAUUUGUUGCACAUAUAGUGAGCAUUUAAAAUAUCCCUCAUUAU